CUUCAGCGCCCCGAGCCACAGCGGCCGCUCCACAGGCCGGUCCUGACCGUAGACGGCCAGCAGCGCCUGCGCCUC
This is a non-coding RNA of Streptomyces sp. Root264, 75 nucleotides long. It matches the Rfam family "ASpks TB sRNA". The record is from Rfam. NCBI's taxonomy places the organism in Bacteria, Bacillati, Actinomycetota, Actinomycetes, Kitasatosporales, Streptomycetaceae.